UACGGAAGGCAGCAAUGGGGAAUAUUGCACAAUGGGCGCAAGCCUGAUGCAGCCAUGCCGCGUGUAUGAAGAAGGCCUUCGGGUUGUAAAGUACUUUCAGUCGUGAGGAAGGUGUUAAGGUUAAUAACCUUAGCAAUUGACGUUAGCGACAGAAGAAGCACCGGCUAACUCCGUGCCAGCAGCCGCGGUAAUACGGAGGGUGCGAGCGUUAAUCGGAAUUACUGGGCUAAAGGGCACGCAGGCGGUUAAUUAAGUUGGAUGUGAAAUCCCCGGGCUUAACCUGGGAAUGGCAUUCAAGACUGGUUAGCUAGAGUCUUGUAGAGGGGGUUAGAAUUCCAUGUGUAGCGGUGAAAUGCGUAGAGAUGUGGAGGAAUACCGGUGGCGAAGGCGGCCCCUGGGACAAAGGACUGACGCUCAUGUGCGAAAGCGUGGGGAGCAAAC
This 441-nucleotide ribosomal RNA is filed under the name uncultured bacterium. RNAcentral's name for it is "bacterial SSU rRNA". It matches the Rfam family "Bacterial small subunit ribosomal RNA", at positions 340 to 773 of the family's 1533-position model. The record is from RNAcentral.